UUCCAUGAUGCUCAGUUAUCUGCCUGCCCCAAGCUAUCCAAAGGGAUGGAUUUGCAUGGACACUGCUCCCCUGUGGAAGGGAAUGCCAGGAAUGACUGGUCUGGUACUACCUGCCCCGGUGAGCUUCCAUUCAAAUAAUGCACAUGCCACCAAAACAAUUCAGAUCAAAGCUCUGCCUUUCCACUGAAUUCAAAUGUGAGGACUUCUAAAGCAAUUUUAGCAGUUGGCUUUACAAAUGAACUUAUGUCAGCUGCUCUGUAUGAUGAGUGACUAAAUUACUCCUGUAUCUAAUCUUAUCUCACUAUCUGUCUGUCUGUUUUUCAGCAUUUCAGUGCCCAUCACUGCAUUAUCCAGGCGCCACCAUAAGAUUAAGGAGCUCUGCAGUGACAUUCUCAACGUGGUCUGCUCAAAGGUCAUUAGCAGAGCCUUCCAUUCUGGAAAAGCCCAGAGGAGGGCACGGGAGUGAGCCACAGAAGGGGAGGAGAAGGAGAAGGAGAAGGAGAAGGAGAAGGAGAAGGAGAAGGAGAAGGAGAAGGAGAAGGAGAAGGAGAAGGAGAAGGAGAAGGAGAAGGAGAAGGAGAAGGAGAAGGAGAAGGAGAAGGAGAAGGAGAAGGAGAAGGAGAAGGAGAAGGAGAAGGAGAAGGAGAAGGAGAAGGAGAAGGAGAAGGAGAAGGAGAAGGAGAAGGAGGAGGCAGCAACUGGAGCCUUUCUGGCUGUGCUCCAUGGAGGGGACGUGCUCAGGUGGUGCUGCAGUGCAGGGGCCUGGUGGCAGUGGCCCUUGUGCUGCUGCAGGGACUGUCACACUUGCUGUGGGCUCCUGUCACCUCAGACUUUGGCUCCCAUGGCCCUGCUGUCCCUGAGCUGCUCUCAGAUGCCAUUCCCAUGCUGGGACUGUAUGAUUCCAGGAUGCUCCAGCCUCAGAGCAGGAUAUUUCCCUCAAAGAUCCCAGAGCAGGCACUGCCACUCAGGAAGCACCUUCUCUGAGAGGAUACACUAGUUAAAUUUUAUCUUCCUCCCAGUGGGCAAAUCCUCCCAGCUCCCUGUGUUCGAAGGAGCCAGAAAGGGUUUCAAUGUGCACAGAGCUACCCUGGACCCACGGGAUCAGGAGAGAGGACGCUGUCCCAGGGCUCCCAGUGCUGUCCCCCUGCAGCUGCGGUGUCUCUGGGGACAGCCUGGGGAGGUGGCAGUGCCCGCGCCCCGCUCCCACAGCUGCUGAUAUUUGCCUGGCUUUUGCCACUGGUCCCGUGGGCACUGCUGAAGGGAAAUCUCCUCUCUGGUGUCACUGAGGCAGGUGAGGCACUGAGCCCAUCCACGAGGCUGCCCUGUCAGGGGGAUGUGCUGGGCCACACUUGGGUGCUGUGCAGUGCUGCUGCACCUCCGCUCUGCACUCCUGAGCACUGCAAACACUGCUCACUUCUGGGAACGUUUCCAUCAGCCCUUACAGGGCCUUUCAGAACCCCUCCAGUGCUUCCCUGUCCUGCCUGGCAGCCAAGGUGUGGGCAUGGCAGGGUUUGUUGUCACUGUCCCUUUGUCCCUGCAGCCAGAGUGGGCCUGGAGUCACAGACUGGCACAGGAGAGGGCCUGGCAGGGCUCAGGGCAGCUCAGGAAGGCAGAGCUCCCUUCCCAGGCAGGAAAGGGAAGAUGCUAUCCAGUUCUGAGGGUGAGCUAAAAUUCCUGGAGAUUAUGGGGCAGGAUGGAAAUAUGGCCCCUGCAGAGGAUUUCCUAAUGAGGCACAGGCUGCUCAGUGAGGGAAAAAAUUACUUUCUAAUAGCAUGUGCCUAUUUUACAUGUAUAAUGAGCCAGACUCUGUGUGGUCAGAUGAGUGCAGGGAAGGGUUUGGAGUGAGGGACAGUUGUGCUUCUGGCCUUUGCAGUCACCAGUUACCCUGGAGAGAGCAGAGUGGAAAAGCAGAGCGCUGUCUGCAGAAACCAGCAUGUCGCAAACCCAAGAGGUCCAUGUGCCAUCACAGGAACAUGUGGAUCAGCAGGUUGGGAAGGCACUGGCUGAGAGCACAGCUCCCACCCUGGUGAGCAGUGUCAGAGCUGUGGAACCAUCUCAUUGUGCUCUCCCAGGCCGGGGCCCUUGGGUGGCAGCUGUAGGAAAGGGUGA
Molecule: long non-coding RNA, 2109 nt
Organism: Junco hyemalis (dark-eyed junco)
Lineage: Eukaryota; Metazoa; Chordata; Aves; Passeriformes; Passerellidae
Source: Ensembl